AUACGUAGGGGGCAAGCGUUGUCCGGAAUCACUGGGCGUAAAGCGCAUGUAGGCGGGAUAUUAAGUCAGGUGUGAAAACUAUGGGCUCAACCUGUAGAUUGCAUCUGAAACUGGUAUUCUUGAGUAUUGGAGAGGAAAGUGGAAUUCCUAGUGUAGCGGUGAGAUGCGUAGAUAUUAGGAGGAACACCAGUGGCGAAGGCGACUUUCUGGCCAAAAACUGACGCUGAGAUGCGAAAGCGUGGGGAGCAAACAGGAUUAGAUGCCCUGGUAGUCCACGCCGUAAACGAUGAAUACUAGGUGUAGGGGGUAUCGACUCCCUCUGUGCCGCAGUUAACACAAUAAGUAUUCCGCCUGGGGAGUACGGCCGCAAGGUUGAAACUCAAAUGAAUUGACGGGG
RNAcentral lists this ribosomal RNA (397 nucleotides) under uncultured bacterium. RNAcentral's name for it is "partial 16S ribosomal RNA". It matches the Rfam family "Bacterial small subunit ribosomal RNA", at positions 523 to 918 of the family's 1533-position model. The record is from RNAcentral.